GUGGCCAGACGAGAGAUACGAUAUUCUUU
This 29-nucleotide non-coding RNA is filed under the name Rattus norvegicus (Norway rat). Lineage: Eukaryota; Metazoa; Chordata; Mammalia; Rodentia; Muridae. The record is from RNAcentral.